Molecule: ribosomal RNA, 464 nt
Filed under: uncultured bacterium
Lineage: Bacteria
Description: partial 16S ribosomal RNA
Rfam family: Bacterial small subunit ribosomal RNA
Source: RNAcentral
CUACGGGCCGCACCAGUGGGGAAUAUUGCACAAUGGGCGCAAGCCUGAUGCAGCCAUGCCGCGUGUAUGAAGAAGGCCUUCGGGUUGUAAAGUACUUUCAGCGGGGAGGAAGGGAGUAAAGUUAAUACCUUUGCUCAUUGACGUUACCCGCAGAAGAAGCACCGGCUAACUCCGUGCCAGCAGCCGCGGUAAUACGGAGGGUGCAAGCGUUAAUCGGAAUUACUGGGCGUAAAGCGCACGCAGGCGGUUUGGUAAGUCAGAUGUGAAAUCCCCGGGCUCAACCUGGGAACUGCAUCUAAUACUGGCAAGCUUGAGUCUCGUAGAGGGGGGUAGAAUUCCAGGUGUAGCGGUGAAAUGCGUAGAGAUCUGGAGGAAUACCGGUGGCGAAGGCGGCCCCCUGGACGAAGACUGACGCUCAGGUGCGAAAGCGUGGGGAGCAAACAGGAUUAGAUACCCCCGUAGUC